RNAcentral lists this ribosomal RNA (454 nucleotides) under uncultured bacterium. RNAcentral's name for it is "bacterial SSU rRNA". It matches the Rfam family "Bacterial small subunit ribosomal RNA", at positions 340 to 786 of the family's 1533-position model. The record is from RNAcentral.
UACGGGAGGCAGCAGUGGGGAAUAUUGCACAAUGGGCGCAAGCCUGAUGCAGCCAUGCCGCGUGUAUGAAGAAGGCCUUCGGGUUGUAAAGUACUUUCAGUCGUGAGGAAGGUGUUAAGGUUAAUAACCUUAGCAAUUGACGUUAGCGACAGAAGAAGCACCGGCUAACUCCGUGCCAGCAGCCGCGGUAAUACGGAGGGUGCGAGCGUUAAUCGGAAUUACUGGGCUAAAGGGCACGCAGGCGGUUAAUUAAGUUGGAUGUGAAAUCCCCGGGCUUAACCUGGGAAUGGCAUUCAAGACUGGUUAGCUAGAGUCUUGUAGAGGGGGUAGAAUUCCGAUGUGUAGCGGUGAAAUGCGUAGAGAUGUGGAGGAAUACCGGGUGGCGAAGGCGGCCCCUGGGACAAAGACUGACGCUCAUGUGCGAAAGCGUGGGGAGCAAACAGGAUUAGAUACC